RNAcentral lists this microRNA precursor (94 nucleotides) under Macleaya cordata. RNAcentral's name for it is "MIR319 microRNA precursor family". It matches the Rfam family "MIR319 microRNA precursor family". Lineage: Eukaryota; Viridiplantae; Streptophyta; Magnoliopsida; Ranunculales; Papaveraceae. The record is from Rfam by way of RNAcentral.
CAGAAAUGGGGGUUCCUUCCAGCCCAAAACAUGGUACUUAAUAAUCUUAUACUUAAACCUCUCUGUUUUGGACUGAAGGGAGCUCCUAAUUCUU